CCGAGUUUUCAACUCCCAAACCCACUGUGAACCUUACCAAAACAACGUUGCUUCGGCGGGACCGCCCCGGGCCCCCGCGCCCGGAACCAGGCGCCCGCCGGAGGCCCCAAAACUCUCGUGUUUCCCCCCAGUGGCAUUUACUCUGAGUGGCCUUAACGGCAAGCAAAUGAAUCA
Molecule: unclassified non-coding RNA, 174 nt
Filed under: uncultured Hypocreaceae
Lineage: Eukaryota; Fungi; Ascomycota; Sordariomycetes; Hypocreales
Description: sequence contains ITS1
Source: RNAcentral